Molecule: ribosomal RNA, 501 nt
Filed under: uncultured bacterium
Lineage: Bacteria
Description: partial 16S ribosomal RNA
Rfam family: Bacterial small subunit ribosomal RNA
Source: RNAcentral
AUUGAACGCUGGCGGCAGGCUUAACACAUGCAAGUCGAGCGGGGGAAGGUAGCUUGCUACCGGACCUAGCGGCGGACGGGUGAGUAAUGCUUAGGAAUCUGCCUAUUAGUGGGGGACAACAUCUCGAAAGGGAUGCUAAUACCGCAUACGUCCUACGGGAGAAAGCAGGGGAUCUUCGGACCUUGCGCUAAUAGAUGAGCAUAAGUCGGAUUAGCUAGUUGGUGGGGUAAAGGCCUACCAAGGCGACGAUCUGUAGCGGGUCUGAGAGGAUGAGCCGCCACACUGGGACUGAGACACGGCCCAGACUUCUACGGGAGGCAGCAGUGGGGAAUAUUGGACAAUGGGCGGAAGCCUGAUCCAGCCAUGCCGCGUGUGUGAAGAAGGCCUUAUGGUUGUAAAGCACUUUAAGCGAGGAGGAGGCUACUUUAGUUAAUACCUAGAGAUAGUGGACGUUACUCGCAGAAUAAGCACCGGCUAACUCUGUGCCAGCCGCCGCCGUAA